Long non-coding RNA from Lolium rigidum, 1092 nucleotides. RefSeq lists it as uncharacterized. The record is from RefSeq and is a predicted model, not a curated record. The transcript is spliced from 4 exons. NCBI's taxonomy places the organism in Eukaryota, Viridiplantae, Streptophyta, Magnoliopsida, Poales, Poaceae.
ACAAAAGCCCGCUGGAUAUUUGUGUUUGGUCCUAGCUACACGGAGACGUGGAACUAUGUGUUUUUGUUUUCCUUGCAAUGUUCGUGCCAAAGAGACGUGGUUCAAGUUACAAAUUGCUUUCCAAUUUUAGCUAAUAUGUUGUAUUCAAUAUUUCCUAUCAGGUAUCUCACUCGAAUCGGAAAAACUUAAGCCAUAAAGAAGCUAUUGUAAUCAGGGGAUAUGCAUGUGCGAAGGACUAGAGGUUUCUUGCUAUCUCAGAUCGAUUCAAUUGUACUUAGUCAAUUUAAAUGAAUACCUUAUGUGUGCAGCCUGCAUGUUUCUUGUUAUGCUAUAAUGAUCCUGUGAUCCCUUUCCUGUUCAACAAUAGGUAAUCAUGAUUUAAGUUGAAAAAAUAAAUUAACAAGGUUUUUUUUUUCUCCUGCCUUUGGUAUGUUCAAAGAUCUUAUAUUGAGGACGGAAAAAAGUUUGUCAAUUCAAAUCCUAACUAAUAAGCAGACUAUUAGUGCUAGAAGGCCUUGUCAUAUAUGCAGCUUGAUUGUUUCCUGAUAUUUCUUUUACGGAGGCAAAGAAUAGGUUUAUUUCUUCACACUUUCUCAUACUUAUGUGUCUUCUUUGCUCUCUCAGCAGGUGACUCGUGCUAACCAUUCCACCACCAAGAAGCAGUACUCGUCGCUAUAUGUUGUAACAUAGGCACCUUUUGCUAUCUCUUGCACGUCGUGUGUAUGAACCAGUGCACUACAAGAUGAGCUGCACAAAGGUGCCAAUAAAUGGAUUUCACACUAGCGUAUUGGAGUUUGUAGCAGAAGAAGGCAAUGAAAUAUUGCGAGUUGAUCAUCUGGAGGAUUGGAGAUAUUUCACAGGCCACAAGAGAUAAAUAUAAUGAAGGGCUAUUGUGCGAGUGACAUGCAGACCAAGGGGCAGAAGGCACAAUAGAGGAAUUUAUUUUAUUUCUUGUAGUAUUAGAUUAAGGUGUGAACUUUUUUUGCCACCAAGCCUAUGGCUAGCUAGUUGUCUUAAUGUUCACUUUGUAUCAAGCUGAUGUAUGUAACUCAUAUUGUAUUUCUAAAUUUCAAUUAAUAAUUUUUUGAUUUA